RNAcentral lists this transfer RNA (81 nucleotides) under Ferroacidibacillus organovorans. RNAcentral describes it as "Acidibacillus ferrooxidans tRNA-Tyr". It matches the Rfam family "tRNA". Rfam says of the family: Transfer RNA (tRNA) molecules are approximately 80 nucleotides in length. Their secondary structure includes four short double-helical elements and three loops (D, anti-codon, and T loops). Lineage: Bacteria; Bacillati; Bacillota; Bacilli; Caryophanales; Alicyclobacillaceae. The record is from RNAcentral.
GGAGGGGUACCAAAGUGGCCAACUGGGGCGGACUGUAAAUCCGUUGCGCAAGCUUCGUAGGUUCGAAUCCUAUCCCCUCCA